Molecule: non-coding RNA, 840 nt
Organism: Meleagris gallopavo (turkey)
Lineage: Eukaryota; Metazoa; Chordata; Aves; Galliformes; Phasianidae
Source: RefSeq, a predicted model, not a curated record
UGAAGCACAGCUGAGCAGUGAGGCUCUGCUAUAAAAGGGACCUGCUAGGUUAGGAGACUAAAAAAAGUUAUCUGGGAGCUGAGAGUACAUAGACUGCUGCUGUGAUGCAGCAAUAAUGCAGGAAUAAUAGGCUUACAGCAAGACUCUGAGUGCAUAUCUAGAGAUUUAACCUCAGAUCUUUGAUUGUGGUUAAAGCUUUGAUUGUUGAAAGCUACUACAACAGCUGCUAGAGAGAAGAGGAAGUAGAUGUAUUUAAAAACUACUUUUUAUGGUUGGUACCAUGUAAGGGAAGGGGAGCAUAGCAAUGCCCAGUUCUCAGGAAAGAAAAACAAAAAUACUCUGAGUAGAGCGUUACUUUCUGCAACUAUCCCUAGUUUCCUGCUGUUUUCUGCUCUGGAUGGAGCAAAGGAGAAGGUCUAAGGCAAAUAAGAUUAGGAACUAGAAGCAAUUCUGAAAGUCUACAGCCUACACUGCAGCAGAAAAUCUGAGAAGCAGGAAAGCAUCACCUGUGCCAGCUGCAGAAGGAUUAGGAGAACCUGCCCAGUGUGUGUGAGAAGCCAAUAGCAGAGUGAGAAAUAAAUGCAUGAUGAGUGAUUCAGGCUCCAGGCUGGCCCAGCCCAAGGGGUGUGAACCUGCAUCAGCUCCUGAGCAGCUCCAUCCCACCCAAGGAACCUCUUGCCAUUGUCCCAUCAGGACUGAUGUGCUGCCAGAAACCAGAAAUAGCAUCCUGAAGAAGAAAAAAAAAAAGGGGGGGAGGAGGGGGGAAAUGUUUGUGCUGUAUCAAUGCAUUCUGGUUUGGGUAUUUUCAUAACAAAAUGUUUCUGGCCUUUGCUUGGAAAA